GCGCUCGUAGCUCAACAGGAUAGAGCGUUGUCUUCCGGAGGCAGAGGUUUCAGGUUCAAGUCCUGUCGAGCGCG
Molecule: transfer RNA, 74 nt
Filed under: Blochmannia endosymbiont of Colobopsis nipponica
Lineage: Bacteria; Pseudomonadati; Pseudomonadota; Gammaproteobacteria; Enterobacterales; Enterobacteriaceae
Description: tRNA-Arg
Rfam family: tRNA
About the family: Transfer RNA (tRNA) molecules are approximately 80 nucleotides in length.
Source: RNAcentral